This 375-nucleotide ribosomal RNA is filed under the name uncultured soil bacterium. RNAcentral's name for it is "bacterial SSU rRNA". It matches the Rfam family "Bacterial small subunit ribosomal RNA", at positions 94 to 513 of the family's 1533-position model. The record is from RNAcentral.
AGUGGCGGACGGGUGAGUAAUGUCUGGGAAACUGCCUGAUGGAGGGGGAUAACUACUGGAGACGGUAGCUAAUACCGCAUAACCGCAAACAAAGAGGUGCCAUCGGAUGUGCCCAGAUGGGAUUAGCUAGUAGGUGGGGUAACGGCUCACCUAGGCGACGAUCCCUAGCUGGUCUGAGAGGAUGACCAGCCACACUGGAACUGAGACACGGUCCAGACUCCUACGGGAGGCAGCAGUGGGGAAUAUUGCACAAUGGGCGCAAGCCUGAUGCAGCCAUGCCGCGUGUAUGAAGAAGGCCUUCGGGUUGUAAAGUACUUUCAGCGGGGAGGAAUGACGUUACCCGCAGAAGAAGCACCGGCUAACUCCGUGCCAGCA